CUGAUUCGCCUGCCCUCAGCUAUGGUCUUCUUUGAGUUUAUGUAAACAGGAUACAACACAACCCAUUUCUUUAUAUUGGGCAUAUUUCCAUCCAUCAUCUCUGCCAUUGAAUUCCAAUUAUACGCUAAUUGAAAUAUUUGCCCUAAGCUCAAAUUAGGAUCCGAGACGGACAGCAACCAAGUGAUGUAAGAGAAACACGGUGAUUGGCUCUGGUAUUUCGUGUCUUUCUGCCACCUCCCUUUUGGAAUGGUGAUUUUUAGGGUUUCACUGGAUCUUCUUCAGAGGCUCCAGAAUAGAAGAGGUUUCGAGGAGGAAUUUCGACGGCAAGAGAGAAUCAAGGUACUGGAGGGGGGAGAGGGAGAGAGACAGGGGGCUGCUCCUGCAAACAAAUGGAAAAAUCAACAAGACGACUCCAGAAAAU
RNAcentral lists this unclassified non-coding RNA (421 nucleotides) under Hevea brasiliensis (rubber tree). The record is from RNAcentral. Lineage: Eukaryota; Viridiplantae; Streptophyta; Magnoliopsida; Malpighiales; Euphorbiaceae.